This 849-nucleotide ribosomal RNA is filed under the name Micrococcus sp. J6. Its description in RNAcentral is "bacterial SSU rRNA". It matches the Rfam family "Bacterial small subunit ribosomal RNA", at positions 56 to 916 of the family's 1533-position model. The record is from RNAcentral. Lineage: Bacteria; Bacillati; Actinomycetota; Actinomycetes; Micrococcales; Micrococcaceae.
UGCAGUCGAACGAUGAAGCCCAGCUUGCUGGGUGGAUUAGUGGCGAACGGGUGAGUAACACGUGAGUAACCUGCCCUUAACUCUGGGAUAAGCCUGGGAAACUAGGUCUAAUACCGGAUAGGAGCGCCUACCGCAUGGUGGGUGUUGGAAAGAUUUAUCGGUUUUGGAUGGACUCGCGGCCUAUCAGCUUGUUGGUGAGGUAAUGGCUCACCAAGGCGACGACGGGUAGCCGGCCUGAGAGGGUGACCGGCCACACUGGGACUGAGACACGGCCCAGACUCCUACGGGAGGCAGCAGUGGGGAAUAUUGCACAAUGGGCGAAAGCCUGAUGCAGCGACGCCGCGUGAGGGAUGACGGCCUUCGGGUUGUAAACCUCUUUCAGUAGGGAAGAAGCGAAAGUGACGGUACCUGCAGAAGAAGCACCGGCUAACUACGUGCCAGCAGCCGCGGUAAUACGUAGGGUGCGAGCGUUAUCCGGAAUUAUUGGGCGUAAAGAGCUCGUAGGCGGUUUGUCGCGUCUGUCGUGAAAGUCCGGGGCUUAACCCCGGAUCUGCGGUGGGUACGGGCAGACUAGAGUGCAGUAGGGGAGACUGGAAUUCCUGGUGUAGCGGUGGAAUGCGCAGAUAUCAGGAGGAACACCGAUGGCGAAGGCAGGUCUCUGGGCUGUAACUGACGCUGAGGAGCGAAAGCAUGGGGAGCGAACAGGAUUAGAUACCCUGGUAGUCCAUGCCGUAAACGUUGGGCACUAGGUGUGGGGACCAUUCCACGGUUUCCGCGCCGCAGCUAACGCAUUAAGUGCCCCGCCUGGGGGAGUACGGCCGCAAGGCUAAAACUCAAAGGAAUUGACGG